CUCUUCUCAAAAAAAAAAUCCACACGUACUCUGAAACUACAAGUCCAAUCGACCCCAAAAUUUGCAGUCAGCAGGGCAUACAUGUACUAAAGGUUCAUAAAACAACGUGGUGCAGAUAUCUCUCAAGACUUUUCCUAGAGAAAAAAAAUGGCAAUGCCGUAAAAAUUGCUUGCUAGGUCCGUAAAUCUCAGUGACAUCCUACAAUAAAAUGUCCGC
RNAcentral lists this long non-coding RNA (216 nucleotides) under Mytilus galloprovincialis (Mediterranean mussel). The record is from RNAcentral. Lineage: Eukaryota; Metazoa; Mollusca; Bivalvia; Mytilida; Mytilidae.